This 374-nucleotide long non-coding RNA is filed under the name Prunus persica (peach). RNAcentral's name for it is "long non-coding RNA (PPER_LNC002875)". The record is from RNAcentral. Lineage: Eukaryota; Viridiplantae; Streptophyta; Magnoliopsida; Rosales; Rosaceae.
ACUCGUGUAACCUGUGCCUUACAAUGCAACCAACCACAAGAUAGAGAGAGGGAGAGGAGGACAAUAAAAUUGUAUCCAGGACUGAAAAAUACAUCAAACUACAUCUUAUUUCAGUUCUUAUCACCACCACCGAGGACCUUCGAAGGUCACCAGUUCUAAUUAUUAGUAAGAAAAGCCAGCAGUGAAUCACAGUGAUUUCUGCCUAAAGCAUAGAACACAUUACCAAGGUCACACGCAAAUACAUAGGAUGCGAGUGCAACAUCUCACAGAGCCAACGUCAUCCUCCUCCUAUAGGUUUGAAGCUGCACUCUUGUCUAAAAACCAUGUUAACUCAUCCUCAGCUGAAAGCAACUGAGCAGGCAAAGUUUCAGAAU